GAUGAACGCUGACGGCGUGCCUAAUACAUGCAAGUCGAGCGAACGGACGAGAAGCUUGCUUUUCUGAUGUUAGCGGCGGACGGGUGAGUAACACGUGGAUAACCUACCUAUAAGACUGGGAUAACUUCGGGAAACCGGAGCUAAUACCGGAUAAUAUUUUGAACCGCAUGGUUCAAAAGUGAAAGACGGUCUUGCUGUCACUUAUAGAUGGAUCCGCGCUGCAUUAGCUAGUUGGUAAGGUAACGGCUUACCAAGGCAACGAUGCAUAACCGACCUGAGAGGGUGAUCGGCCACACUGGAACUGAGACACGGUCCAGACUCCUACGGGAGGCAGCAGUAGGGAAUCUUCCGCAAUGGGCGAAAGCCUGACGGAGCAACGCCGCGUGAGUGAUGAAGGUCUUCGGAUCGUAAAACUCUGUUAUUAGGGAAGAACAUAUGUGUAAGUAACUGUGCACAUCUUGACGGUACCUAAUCAGAAAGCCACGGCUAACUACGUG
Molecule: ribosomal RNA, 497 nt
Filed under: uncultured bacterium
Lineage: Bacteria
Description: partial 16S ribosomal RNA
Rfam family: Bacterial small subunit ribosomal RNA
Source: RNAcentral